RNAcentral lists this unclassified non-coding RNA (266 nucleotides) under Paraglomus sp. RNAcentral describes it as "partial internal transcribed spacer 2". Lineage: Eukaryota; Fungi; Glomeromycota; Glomeromycetes; Paraglomerales; Paraglomeraceae. The record is from RNAcentral.
GUGAAUCAUCAAAUUUUUGAACGCAAAUUGCGCCUGUUUCGGAAGUCAUGUCUGUUUGAGUGCGCCAUUUAACAAAUAAUGUGCAGCGUUUUUUGUGGCACACGUUGAUGAGCUUUCCAAGAAUUUUAACUUUUUGGUGGCGCAUAGUGAACAGCGUGAGAGGUUUUUUCAGUUCGAGUGUAUUGUAAUCUUUGCUUGGGUGGUGAAAAAACAUAAUCGCGCAAUGGGUGUGUCGAUUUCUUUUUGUCCCUUCCCCGAUGCCACUC